Molecule: long non-coding RNA, 3476 nt
Organism: Amphiprion ocellaris (clown anemonefish)
Lineage: Eukaryota; Metazoa; Chordata; Actinopteri; Pomacentridae
Exons: 3
Source: RefSeq, a predicted model, not a curated record
UGUAUAUAUAUGUUUAGAUAUGUAUAUACUACCUCUACAGUACAAGAUCAGAUGUAUUUUGUAACUCAUUUAUAGAUUGACUCUUUUAAGGUUAUAUAAUUUCCCAGAGGUUUAAUACUUUGUUGCAUGUUUUUGUACUUGAAAAUUCCUCUUUGUUGUAACGUUAAAUAAAUACUAAAGGACCAAGUAUCGUAAAACAGUAAAAUGUUCUGCCUGUAAUUCAUAUCUUUGCUGUUGCAAGCAUUAAGGGACCAAAAAAGAAAUUGUUAUACUCAUUAUAUAUUUUUUUAGAUUAAUCGGCCAAUUAAUUGGCUAUCGGAAUUUUUUCUGCCGAAUAUCGGCAUCGGCCUCAAAAACUCCGUAUCAGUCGGGCUUUAAUAUUUACAUAUGAAAGAACCAAAAUUAUUCUUUUGGUGACAAAGAUUCAUGUGUUUAAAUGAUUCCAUCACAGAAAAUCCAGAGUUCUAGGAGUCACUGGAAACUAAAGUAUGGCAUGAUGGAGUUUACAGGUGAAUGGAAACUUUAGUUUACGACUAUAGUUGACCAGACUUACAUGUAAAAAUCUGAUGUUCACAGGUGAACACUGAUGUUCACAGGUGAACACUGAUGUUCACAGGUGAACACUGAUGUUCACAGGUGAACACUGAUGUUCACAGGUGAACACUGAUGUUCACAGGUGAACACUGAUGUUCACAGGUGAACACUGAUGUUCACAGGUGAACACUGAGGUGAGAAGUUGAUCCUGAUGAAGCAGCAGCUCAGACGUCGGUGUUUUUCUGCCUGGAGCUGCAGCUCAGAGAGUUUCAGUUGAUAAAUAAUUCUGUCAGAAAACGCUGCCGCUGCACCAAAAUAACUCAUCAUUUAUUCUCUGUUCUGUCAGACGGUUUGGAUUCUGUCCUGGAAAUCUUCUCGCAGCUGAUGAUGAAGAGCAGAAACCAGCAGAUUUUCUGUUUAAAAAGCAGCUCGAGGAGUUUCAGAGUGGAUUUAUUUCAUCAGUAUUUAGUAUCAAUGUGAAAAUUCUUGUUUUUUUUAGACGAAUAAAUAAACGUUGAGUGAAACUGUGAUGACUUCUGUGCUCAGAUUGUAGAAUCGCAGGUGGAUGUUUCGAACACAGCAGCACUUUCUCCAUGUAGAUCAGAGUUUUAUUGAUUAACUCACAUUUUAUGUUCUAAUCUCACUUGUUUGAAGAUGGGUGUUGCUAAACUUAGCUCUAUUAAAAUGCAGAUAUUCUGGGAUUCUGUCUUAAUGAAUGAAUUGCAGCAACUUUGUUCUCAUUUCCAGAUAUUUACCUUGAAGCUGAUGUGACUUUAAGGACAAAUAGUCCAGUUUGAAGCUUCUGUAACUUGAAUUUCUGGCAGUUUUUUGAUUAUAUGAAGAAUUUUUAGCUUUUUGAAACGACUUUCAAGGUAAGAUUUACAUGAGAAAGAAGAUUCUGUAUUUAAAAAUAAUAGUAAUCUGGCGGCAAAAGUGUCAAAAAGUAUGUAAAAAAUAAAAAAUAAUAUAACAGCAAAUAUUCAAAUUCUAUUUUUGCUGUUUCAAAUAUAACAAAAAUGCAAUUUUAUAGUUACACAUUGUUAAAGUAAAUUUGCUUUUUAUGAAAAUACAGAUAUUUGAUGUGGACAUUGUUUUUUAAUUACAGUUUACAUGUAAAUUAAUAAUUUAAUGUGAUUUAAUCAGUUAUCUAAUAAAACUAGGAAAAUCUGUAAAAACAUAAAAAUGUAUUUACUAUUUCUCAAUAAUGACAAAUAUAUUUGCGGUUGAUGUAUUACUGCUCAGUUUGCAUCAUUAUCUGGUGUUUUUGUGCCUCGUGUUUUAUGUGUAUUUGUGUUCAUUUUGUGUCACUGUUUCAUUGAUCUUCAUCCCUUUCUGGUGUUUUUCUGUGUUUUUAUCAUCGUUUUGUGGCUCUUUGUAGUUGGUUUGAGUUACUUUGGUGUCUCAUUGGGUCUCAGUUUGCCUUUGCUCUGCAUUGUUUGGGACCAUUUGGCAUUUCUCUGGUCAUUUUGUGUGUUGCGGUCUUUUUGAAUUUAUUUGUGCUCAUUUUGCAUCUCGCAGUGGUCAGUUUAUGUGUCUUAGAGGUGGUUUUGUCUCUUUUUGCAUUAAUUAGUGUCUAUUUGUGUUAUUUUGCAUGACUUUUUAAUUGACUGGCAUCUGUUUCUGGUCUUUUUUCGCAUCUUUGCAGUUAAGUGUUUUUGUUUAUUGGUUUGAAUCUCUUACUGUUUAUUGUGUGUUUCUUGGCAUUGUUUUGUGGGUCUUCGUAGUUUGUUGGAGUAAUUUUGGUGUUUCGUGUCUCUUUACAUCUGGCAGUGAUCCUUUUGUGACUUAGAAGCACUGUUCCCUCUAAGCUGCCUACGUGCGCAAUUGCGCACUGCUGACACGCUCUCCGUGCACAGAAAAUCUGCGCAGCACACACAAAAAAAUCCAACCUAAAUUGAAAAUAAAAUAAACACGUAACAAUUCAUUCUGUGCUAUUUUUCAGUGUGAGUCAGUGAGUGACCAGUGACUGGCUGCUGCAGCUAAUGAUGCGAUUCACAUACGUAUUUACCAUAGACUGUAUAUAAUGGUAUUUACGCAGCUAAUCAACGUCAUUGACAGGCGUCCUUAUGUGCAGCCAUCGUUGUUGUCAUAGAUAUGAAUGAGUAGAUAGGACACGCCCCUUUGAGCUGCGUGCUACAGCGAGGCUAAGCUAGUGGGGGCAAAGUUUCAGUGCAUUUCGUUGAUGUAGACGGCGUGGAAACGGAAACAACAAGUAUGCCGGCUCACUGUGCUGCAUACAAUUACACACUACGUCAUACGAUUGAGACAAGGAAACAUGGAAUGACUUUUCAUAGGUUUCCCAGAGACUAUGGGCUGAGGAGGAAUUGAAAGUUUGUCUGCUUAGACCUGGUGUCAUUCCAUCAGUGUUAAACUUCCCGGCUCAUCUUGGAAGAGUACGUGCCAGAAAGACCACGACCAAGCAGCCUUGAGAUCUUAGACAGCGUCUCCCUGAGGUCCCUCUCUAUCUCCCCACACAUCCACCAACCACUGGAACACAUCUCCAAAGUUCUGCCAGGCCAGCUCAGCUUCCCCUCAGAAGAAGUGCCACCAGAUGAAGGAGCCUUUUGAGAGGCAGCUGGCAUCGUGAUUGGACUGUACUUUGGUCUGUUCCAAUCCAGCUUCAGCUCCAGAGACGGCAGGCGGGACGAGUCAACGGAGGCCGGAUGGACGAAGACAUGCAGCUGAGUACAAUCCAGAAAACAACAGAGGAGGAGUGCAGGGCCAGAACAACCAGAGUAGCAUCGUAUGUCUCUUAGAAAACAUCAUAGUAUAGCUUUUGGUAUGAAAAAAACGCCAUCAUAUACAUUGAAUAUUGUACAAAUAACAAGUCAAAGGAAAGAGACAUACAUUGUAGAAUUGUAGUAAUUGUGGGCUGACUGAUUUACUGAUUAUCAGUAUUUUAUUUUGUACUGAUUUACGGUAAUAAAUACAUUUUAAAGUGG